Molecule: non-coding RNA, 103 nt
Submitted as: unclassified sequences
Source: Rfam
UUGCGCCUGCGGAGGACGCAGCACCACCCGUAAAGGGCCUUGCAGGCGGCAGGGUGGUGUCCCCGUCCGGUGAUCGGCAAUUUUGCCGAUUCAAAAUCAUUCC